AUGUACAUAUGUUUGAGUUGCGGGGAUCAUGGGUCAAGUGAUACUAUGUGCAUUGAUUUUCGCCAAUGUAGAACAACCUUUGUUCUGCCAGUGUGCCUGGCGCCGACGUGGCUUCUCGGGCCGCCUCAGCAGAGGCAGAUACAGAGGCGGCGAUCGAUGGCGAGGAGGGGAGCGGAGGAGCACCCAGAAAAUUUGAACAGAGGGAGAAAGAGGGUGUGUGGGUUUCAGAAACAUCCAGCCAAAGUUUCAAAUUCGAGAGGAUUUUGGCAACAUAUAUAUACGUGCUGCUCUCCUCAAACGAGCGCAGUAAAAAAAUACAUACAUUAUUUUUCAUACAUACAUAUGGCAUCUUCUCUUUUUCAUAUAUCAACUAUACAUACAUUAUUUUUCAGUAAAAAAAUAAUGCAGUCACACGUCAAUGGAUCAUCACCAUCCACCCGAAAUUUGGCUGCAGCUACUACCUAG
RNAcentral lists this ribosomal RNA (465 nucleotides) under Triticum aestivum (bread wheat). RNAcentral's name for it is "partial small subunit ribosomal RNA". Lineage: Eukaryota; Viridiplantae; Streptophyta; Magnoliopsida; Poales; Poaceae. The record is from RNAcentral.